This 492-nucleotide ribosomal RNA is filed under the name uncultured bacterium. RNAcentral's name for it is "partial 16S ribosomal RNA". It matches the Rfam family "Bacterial small subunit ribosomal RNA", at positions 29 to 507 of the family's 1533-position model. The record is from RNAcentral.
AGUGAACGCUGGCGGUAGGCCUAACACAUGCAAGUCGAACGGCAGCACAGUAUUAGCUUUCUCUUACUGGUGGCGAGUUGAGUACGGGUUAGGUAUACAUCGGUAUCUACUUUUUCGUGUUGGGUAACGUAGGGAUACUUACGCUUAUACCUCAUACGACCUUCGGGUGAAUGCAGGGGCUCUUCCGACCUUGCGCGAUUUCAUGAGUCGUUGUCUGGUUAGCUAGUUGGCGGGGUAACGGCCCACCAAGGCGACGAUCCGUAGCUGGUCUGAGAGGCUGAAGAGCGACACUGGGAGUGAGACACGGUACAGAGUCCGACGGGAGGCAGAAGUGGGGAAUAGAGGAAGAUGGGCGCAAGACUGAACCAGCCAUACCGCGUGGGUGAAGAAGGGCUGCGGGUUGGAAAGCCGUUUUGUUGGGAAAGAAAAGCAGCAGGUUAAUACCACGCUGUGGUGACGGUACCCAAAGAAGAAGCACCGGCUAACUUCGUG